UGACCUCAAAUCAGGUAGGACUACCCGCUGAACUUAAGCAUAUCAAUAAGCGGAGGAAAAGAAACUAACAAGGAUUCCCCUAGUAACUGCGAGUGAAGCGGGAAAAGCUCAAAUUUAAAAUCUGGCGGCUUUGUCGUCCGAGUUGUAAUCUGGAGAAGCGUUUUCCGUGUCGGACCGUGCACAAGUCUCUUGGAACAGAGCGUCAUAGAGGGUGAGAAUCCCGUCUUUGGCACGGACAGCCGAUACUUUGUGAUACGUUUUCAAAGAGUCGAGUUGGUUGGGAAUGCAGCUCAAAAUGGGUGGUAAAUUCCAUCUAAAGCUAAAUAUAGGCGAGAGACCGAUAGCGAACAAGUACCGUGAGGGAA
This 365-nucleotide ribosomal RNA is filed under the name Trichaptum abietinum. Its description in RNAcentral is "Hirschioporus abietinus partial 28S ribosomal RNA". It matches the Rfam family "Eukaryotic large subunit ribosomal RNA", at positions 1 to 361 of the family's 3401-position model. Lineage: Eukaryota; Fungi; Basidiomycota; Agaricomycetes; Hymenochaetales; Trichaptaceae. The record is from RNAcentral.